GGGGGCGACAGGUUUCGACGGGGAUUUGUGAGGUCCAGGCUGCGUCUCGAGGUUUCUCUCCCCUCGUUAAUAAGAGAGAACGGUAUAGCUGCCAACACACAGCUAGCUCUGGCGGCCUAACACCCGUCAGCGUCCGCCGGCUCGAGCCAUCAGGGACCGGGAACGGACGUCAUAUUCUGGUGGCUGGCUCCGAACCUGGCCUCAGGGGAGGGGCGAGACUUUGAGGCUGGCCGCGCGGUGAUCCGGCCGAUCGGAGUGCCGCGUAGCGAGAAGCAGUAAAGUAGAUCGGCUAUCGACGUAGACGCCUGCGGCUGAGGGUUUCCGGACGUGGGUUCGAUUCCCACCGCCUCCACCA
This 355-nucleotide transfer-messenger RNA is filed under the name Candidatus Rokuibacteriota bacterium. RNAcentral's name for it is "Candidatus Rokubacteria bacterium transfer-messenger RNA". It matches the Rfam family "transfer-messenger RNA". From Rfam's summary of the family: Bacterial tmRNA, also known as 10Sa RNA or SsrA, is named for its dual tRNA and mRNA-like properties. Its role is to liberate the mRNA from a stalled ribosome. The record is from RNAcentral. RNAcentral also lists the same sequence under 2 other names. Lineage: Bacteria; Candidatus Rokuibacteriota.